GAUAGAUUUCAAAAUCCCAGAUCUCACCUUCUCGUCCCUUCUCCUCAAGGAGCCAACAAACAGACAGUGAAAUAUUAAAAAGAAAAAAGAUGCAGCAGAUGACAGUAAAUGUAAAUUGCCUACAAACAUUACCUAGUAAAUGCCCCUCACUAUUAUUCAAUAUAUAUUUUUGCAUCCCAAAAUCUGUAAGAAUUUUUUUGUGUUUGGUUCUUUCUGGUCAACAAGCACUUGUAGUCCUACAGUAGGUAUAGAGUGGAAU
This 259-nucleotide unclassified non-coding RNA is filed under the name Hevea brasiliensis (rubber tree). The record is from RNAcentral. Lineage: Eukaryota; Viridiplantae; Streptophyta; Magnoliopsida; Malpighiales; Euphorbiaceae.